UACGUAGGCAGCGAGCGUUGUUCGGAGUUACUGGGCGUAGAGGGUGUGUAGGCGGUUGUUUAAGUUUGGUGUGAAAUCUCCCGGCUCAACUGGGAGGGUGCGCCGAAUACUGAAUGACUUGGAGUGCGGGAGAGGUGAGUGGAAUUCCCGGUGUAGUGGUGAAAUGCGUAGAUAUCGGGAGGAACACCAGUGGCGAAGGCGACUACCUGGCCUGUUCUUGACGCUGAGGCGCGAAAGCUAGGGGAGCAAACGGG
RNAcentral lists this ribosomal RNA (254 nucleotides) under uncultured bacterium. RNAcentral's name for it is "partial 16S ribosomal RNA". It matches the Rfam family "Bacterial small subunit ribosomal RNA", at positions 524 to 776 of the family's 1533-position model. The record is from RNAcentral.